Molecule: long non-coding RNA, 1021 nt
Organism: Chrysemys picta bellii (western painted turtle)
Lineage: Eukaryota; Metazoa; Chordata; Testudines; Emydidae
Source: RefSeq, a predicted model, not a curated record
CCUGCCCCGAGGGAAAGGCUAUGGUACCGGGUUCAAGCACUGGACAUUCCUGGGGCUGCCCCGGCUGAAAUAACCUGUGCUAUUUGGGGAUCCAGGGACCACAUGCCAGGGGAGUCGGGUGCCGAACACGCUUUGGUUCCACUGAAAAUCCUAACCACAGAAAACACACCAGAGAGUGGCUAAGAGUUCCCCCAGGCCUCGGAAAAUCUACCCUCAUUCAUUCAGUGUCAAUAAGGGUUCACCUAUCAAGCCACACACCUAACUGCACAGAAGAACAAACAAAGGCUGACACUGUGUGAUACCUCUGAGCCUCGGCUACCUUCACAUUGCAGCAGAAUAUCUGUGGAAUCGGAAGAUGUCUCGGCUGACGAAUAGAAUCAGGUCCCAAAGCCUCAGUGCCUCCAUCCACAUGGAGCUCAGGGUCUCAGAAUGUUGCCAUCGGAGUCCCAGGGAGCUACCUGCGCCAAGGAGCUUGGAGACCCCAAUGUCCUAUGGACUGCAGCUUCAGGAAGCCUGGACUGGGCCCUCUGACUUCAACGAGAUUCCCUUCCGCUGAGCUUUCAGCUGCUUCCCAUUUUUCUGAACCACUGCUAACAUUUCACAACAACAACUAAACCAACAUUUUGUAUAUACAGCCUUGGACAGAAGGCGGGUUACUGUGCGAACUCUGGGAAGAAAUGCAGCAGAAUCUCACCGCCUCUGGGAAUAUGUGCUUGUGAAAUAGAAGCUGCACAGACUUCUUUGCUUUCAAAGAAAUGCAGCACAUUGGGAAUCAAGUGUCAGGAUUUCCAAGAUGGAAGCAUUUCACCAAUAUCUAGGUACACAGAUAAAACAAAGAAGAAACAGACAGUCUAAGCUAGCCCAGAAAGGCCAUGCUAAAUGUAUAAGUCUGUAAAGCACCACAGUUUUAGAACACAUAUAAAUCAGUAAGAAGCUUUGUAAACAGACAUAUUGUUGUUGAUUUCAAAUUACCCGUUACUCUGAGCAGUGUGUGUUAUUUUGCAGGCUCAGCGAAAUAAAA